RNAcentral lists this ribosomal RNA (253 nucleotides) under uncultured bacterium. RNAcentral's name for it is "partial 16S ribosomal RNA". It matches the Rfam family "Bacterial small subunit ribosomal RNA", at positions 524 to 776 of the family's 1533-position model. The record is from RNAcentral.
UACGUAGGGUGCAAGCGUUGUCCGGAAUUAUUGGGCGUAAAGAGCGUGUAGGCGGCUCGAUUAGUCCGCUGUGAAAGUCCAGGGCUCAACCCUGGAAUGCCGGUGGAUACUGUCGAGCUAGAGUCCGGAAGGGGCGAGUGGAAUUCCUGGUGUAGCGGUGAAAUGCGCAGAUAUCAGGAAGAACACCCGUGGCGAAGGCGGCUCUCUGGGACGGUACUGACGCUGAGACGCGAAAGCGUGGGGAGCGAACAGG